This 334-nucleotide ribosomal RNA is filed under the name uncultured Glomeromycotina. RNAcentral's name for it is "eukaryotic LSU rRNA". The record is from RNAcentral. Lineage: Eukaryota; Fungi; Glomeromycota.
AAUCAGCCUUUAGGAUGCGAUUUUGUGGAGCGUGAGGAGCUAAUCGCCUUCAUGCCUGUAUAGUCGUGUACUUGGGGUGUACUUAUUCGUGUGGUAAGUUAAUAUCAAUUUUGGUCGUCAUAAAAUGACUGGAGGAAUGUAGCUUCGAUCUCGUAUUGAAGUGUUAUAGCCUUUGGUAGAUGUGAUUAUCGGGAUUGAGGAUUGCAACGGAUACCCUUCGGGGCUACUUGUCUGAUCUCUGAUCGUUGCUCUGGUGCCGAAAGCGUGCUUACGGUUAUCAAAGUCGAUGGUCAAUAGGUUAGAAUGGGUUAAAUUCGUUAAGGAUGUUGACGUA